This is a long non-coding RNA of Hyla sarda, 487 nucleotides long. RefSeq lists it as uncharacterized. The transcript is spliced from 4 exons. NCBI's taxonomy places the organism in Eukaryota, Metazoa, Chordata, Amphibia, Anura, Hylidae. The record is from RefSeq and is a predicted model, not a curated record.
ACCGGGGAGCACGACGUCACGGCGGGCGCGCUCCCGACUGCACCGCCGGAGGCAUCACUCCUGCUGCUUAGUAACUGCCUCAACUUUCUAUCCUCCGCGCCUGUAUCUAGUAAUGCCCGUCAGAAGACGCUGAGACAAGUAAGCUUCUAAAUCACGGGUUCCUGUGAUCCCUGGGGCACAUACACGGGUGGAUGUAAACCGGGAGUUCCCCUGGUCCCUCAACCUUCCCGCUACCCCUUAAAAGUACCUGGAAAGACAAGGGAACUGCCAUCUGGGACCUCUUCUCCAGUUAGGAGGCCCCUUGAAUUGCUGCGGAGAUGGAUUUCCUUGGUACUGGAUAUAUUUUUCUCGGUUCCAGCUAUUAGAUAUGUCCUUUUGAUUUAUGUUACUGUAUAACUUACAUGAGUACAUUGAUUGUAUAUCCUCCAGAUCUGAUGAAGGUCAAUACCUGACCGAAACGUUAUCUACUUGGAUUGCGUAUGAAAUA